This is a long non-coding RNA of Solanum stenotomum, 320 nucleotides long. RefSeq lists it as uncharacterized. The transcript is spliced from 3 exons. The record is from RefSeq and is a predicted model, not a curated record. NCBI's taxonomy places the organism in Eukaryota, Viridiplantae, Streptophyta, Magnoliopsida, Solanales, Solanaceae.
UCUCCCUCAACUGCUCCGGCCAGCGAGCUCCAAGCAAUCAACAUUAGCAACCGGCGAGGAGAUCAACAACAUCUCCAGCCAACUGACCUCGACCUCGAUCCACUGCCCUUCUCCUUUAAUUGAAGGCAACUGAGGAAGCUCAACAUCUAAAAAAGUUGAUACACGACUAUAUUGCUUCUUUCAUCAAAGUAGGAGAUAAGGAAAAAGAAUUGGGACGCACUCCCAUUGAACCAGAGGUUUUCAAAAAGACUCAUGUCAGGAAGAAAGAAAAUGAGUUGGAUCCGGAUGUGUGGGUGGAGGAAAGGGCCGAACAAACUUUU